AGUGGGGAAUAUUGCACAAUGGGCGGAAGCCUGAUGCAGCAACGCCGCGUGCGGGAUGACGGCCUUCGGGUUGUAAACCGCUUUCGCCUGUGACGAAGCGUGAGUGACGGUAAUGGGUAAAGAAGCACCGGCUAACUACGUGCCAGCAGCCGCGGUGAUACGUAGGGUGCGAGCGUUGUCCGGAUUUAUUGGGCGUAAAGGGCUCGUAGGUGGUUGAUCGCGUCGGAAGUGUAAUCUUGGGGCUUAACCCUGAGCGUGCUUUCGAUACGGGUUGACUUGAGGAAGGUAGGGGAGAAUGGAAUUCCUGGUGGAGCGGUGGAAUGCGCAGAUAUCAGGAGGAACACCAGUGGCGAAGGCGGUUCUCUGGGCCUUUCCUGACGCUGAGGAGCGAAAGCGUGGGGAGCGAACAGGCUUAGAUACCCUGGUAGUCCACGCUGUAAACGGUGGGUACUAGGUGUGGGGUCCAUUCCACGGGUUCC
RNAcentral lists this ribosomal RNA (479 nucleotides) under uncultured Propionibacterium sp. RNAcentral's name for it is "bacterial SSU rRNA". It matches the Rfam family "Bacterial small subunit ribosomal RNA", at positions 353 to 842 of the family's 1533-position model. Lineage: Bacteria; Bacillati; Actinomycetota; Actinomycetes; Propionibacteriales; Propionibacteriaceae. The record is from RNAcentral.